AGAGUUUGAUCCUGGCUCAGGAUGAACGCUGGCGGUAUGCUUAACACAUGCAAGUCGAACGGAGUACUUCGGUACUUAGUGGCGGACGGGUGAGUAACGCGUGAGAAUCUGCCUUCAGGUUCGGGACAACCACUGGAAACGGUGGCUAAUACCGAAUGUGCAGCAAUGUGAAAAAUUUAUUGCCUGGAGAUGAGCUCGCGUCUGAUUAGCUAGUAGGUGUGGUAAGAGCGCACCUAGGCGACGAUCAGUAGCUGGUCUGAGAGGAUGAUCAGCCACACUGGGACUGAGACACGGCCCAGACUCCUACGGGAGGCAGCAGUGGGGAAUUUUCCGCAAUGGGCGAAAGCCUGACGGAGCAAUACCGCGUGAGGGAGGAAGGCUCUUGGGUUGUAAACCUCUUUUCUCAGGGAAGAAAAAAAUGACGGUACCUGAGGAAUAAGCAUCGGCUAACUCCGUGCCAGCAGCCGCGGUAAUACGGAGGAUGCAAGCGUUAUCCGGAAUGAUUGGGCGUAAAGCGUCCGCAGGUGGCUAUGUAAGUCUGCUGUUAAAGAGUCUGGCUCAACCAGAUAAAGGCAGUGGAAACUACAUGGCUAGAGUGCGUUCGGGGCAGAGGGAAUUCCUGGUGUAGCGGUGAAAUGCGUAGAGAUCAGGAAGAACACCGGUGGCGAAAGCGCUCUGCUAGGCCGCAACUGACACUGAGGGACGAAAGCUAGGGGAGCGAAUGGGAUUAGAUACCCCAGUAGUCCUAGCCGUAAACGAUGGAUACUAGGCGUGGCUUGUAUCGACCCGAGCCGUGCCGUAGCUAACGCGUUAAGUAUCCCGCCUGGGGAGUACGCAGGCAACUGUGAAACUCAAAGGAAUUGACGGGGGCCCGCACAAGCGGUGGAGUAUGUGGUUUAAUUCGAUGCAACGCGAAGAACCUUACCAGGACUUGACAUGUCGCGAAUUGAAGUGAAAGCUUCAAGUGCCUUCGGGAGCGCGAACACAGGUGGUGCAUGGCUGUCGUCAGCUCGUGUCGUGAGAUGUUGGACGACGUCCCGCAACGAGCGCAACCCUCGUUUUUAGUUGCCAGCAUUAAGUUGGGCACUCUAGAGAGACUGCCGGUGACAAACCGGAGGAGGGUGGGGAUGACGUCAAGUCAGCAUGCCCCUUACGUUCUGGGCUACACACGUACUACAAUGCUACGGACAAAGGGCAGCUACACAGCGAUGUGAUGCUAAUCUCAUAAACCGUGGCUCAGUUCAGAUCGCAGGCUGCAACUCGCCUGCGUGAAGGAGGAAUCGCUAGUAAUUGCAGGUCAGCAUACUGCAGUGAAUUCGUUCCCGGGCCUUGUACACACCGCCCGUCACACCAUGGAAGCUGGUAGUGCCCGAAGUCAUUACCCCAACCGCUUGCGGAGGGGGAUGCCUAAGGCAGGACUGGUGACUGGGGUGAAGUCGUAACAAGGUAGCCGUACCGGAAGGUGUGGCUGGAUCACCUCCUUUAAAGGAGACCUACCCGCUCAGAUAUUGAAAACAAAUUGUGAUUAGAUAUUGAGUUGGUCAUCCUAAAGGUCGGUCGCGACAGUUGUUAAUUGCUUUCAAACUAUAUUUUGGUUUGGUUCGUAUGGGCUAUUAGCUCAGGUGGUUAGAGCGCACCCCUGAUAAGGGUGAGGUCCCUGGUUCGAGUCCAGGAUGGCCCACCUGAAUCAAUGCAAAAUUCAAGCAUAGCAAACAUUGUGAAUUUUGAAUUUUGAAUUGUGUCUGGGGGUUUAGCUCAGUUGGUAGAGCGCCUGCUUUGCAAGCAGGAUGUCAGCGGUUCGAGUCCGCUAACCUCCACCAGAAAGUGAAAUGAGGGAAAAAGUUCAGCAACUGAGCAAUAUUUGCCAGACUGCUGGAUAUAUUUCCAGUGAUUGAACCUUGAAAACUGCAUAGUGAUAGCGAAUAAGCAGGCAGACACAGACACUCAGAUAAGUUGAGUAGUGUUUGCAUUGAAUACCAAUUGUUGAAGUGGUCAAGCUAAUAAGGGCUAACGGUGGAUACCUAGGCACACAGAGGCGAAG
This 2041-nucleotide ribosomal RNA is filed under the name Spirirestis californica Mon65. Its description in RNAcentral is "bacterial SSU rRNA". The stretch from base 1 to 1484 matches the Rfam family "Bacterial small subunit ribosomal RNA". Lineage: Bacteria; Bacillati; Cyanobacteriota; Cyanophyceae; Nostocales; Tolypothrichaceae. The record is from RNAcentral.